GGAGUUAGCCGGUGCUUCUUCUGCGAGUAACGUCACAGAUGUAAGGUAUUAACUUACACCCUUUCCUCCUCGCUGAAAGUGCUUUACAACCCGAAGGCCUUCUUCACACACGCGGCAUGGCUGCAUCAGGGUUUCCCCCAUUGUGCAAUAUUCCCCACUGCUGCCUCCCGUAGGAGUCUGGGCCGUGUCUCAGUCCCAGUGUGGCUGAUCAUCCUCUCAGACCAGCUAGGGAUCGUCGCCUAGGUGAGCCUUUAACUCACCUACUAGCUAAUCCCACCUGGGCUUAUCCAUCAGCGCAAGGCCCGAAGGUCCCCUGCUUUCCCCCGUAGGGCGUAUGCGGUAUUAGCAGUCGUUUCCAACUGUUAUCCCCCACAAAUGGGCAAAUUCCCAGGCAUUACUCACCCGUCCGCCGCUCGUCAUCUUCAAAAGCAAGCUUUUGAAAUGUUACCGCUCGACUUGCAUGUGUUAGGCCUGCCGCCAGCGUUCAAUCUGAGCCAGAAUCAAACUCUGA
RNAcentral lists this ribosomal RNA (511 nucleotides) under uncultured bacterium. RNAcentral's name for it is "partial 16S ribosomal RNA". The record is from RNAcentral.